RNAcentral lists this long non-coding RNA (454 nucleotides) under Bos mutus (wild yak). Its description in RNAcentral is "lncRNA (ENSBMUG00000012882.1)". Lineage: Eukaryota; Metazoa; Chordata; Mammalia; Artiodactyla; Bovidae. The record is from RNAcentral.
GUUUGCUUCCAGAUAGUUGGUUAUCUGUCCACCCCACAAUCCUCUCCACCACUGUCUCAGACCUCAGGGUGUCUGGCUGGAAUCCUGCAUCCCAUAUCCCUGGCCUGAGCGAGAAGGUUUCGAUUUCUCAAAAAACUAUUUAGAUGGCAUUUGACUCUUUAUGGCUGCCUUCCCAACCUCAAGAAAGAGAGCCAACGGACUGUUGGCUGUCAGUCAAUAGGACUUUGUCUUUUUAAUAAGGGUAAAUUCAGGCAGGUUUGGCCAAGGAAUCAACUGGAACAUCAGAGACUCUGCUACACCAAAAGUUGCUCCUCCCUCGGCUGUAAAUGUGGACAAGGUCUCAAUGGGAGACUGCAGAGUGGAAAGAGACCUCCAGAACAACGAACCCCAACAGGAUGCAAAAUGCAGUGUAUACUAUGAUUACAACUCUGCUGAAAUAUAUCUGCCGAUGGAC